AGGAGUUUGUCUGUCUACCGUAAGUAUAUCCUAUAAAUUAUCACUAUCAUAAACUCACAAUGAUUAUGCCUUCCAUUUCUUGUCAUGCCUAUAAAUAUAAUAUAAUCUGAUAAAAAAUUUCAGUGUUUUCCUAUCACCAUUGAUGUGGGAACAAACAACGAGAACUUGUUGAAUGAUGAGUUAUAUAUAGGGCUCAAGCAAAGACGGGCGACUAGGCAAGAAUAUGCUGAACUUAUGCAUGAAUUUAUGAGUGUUGUCAAGCAAAAUUAUGGAGAGAAAGUCCUCAUUCAGUUUGAAGACUUUGCGAACCACAACGCAUUUGAUCUACUUGAAAAAUAUAGAUCAACCCAUCUUGUUUUCAAUGAUGAUAUUCAAAUAAGGAAUACUAGUCAUCAAUACUUAAUUCCUAUACUUUGGUAACUAUAAUAUAUCUAGCUCUGAAACC
Molecule: non-coding RNA, 445 nt
Organism: Arachis ipaensis
Lineage: Eukaryota; Viridiplantae; Streptophyta; Magnoliopsida; Fabales; Fabaceae
Source: RefSeq, a predicted model, not a curated record